GUCUACAGCCACGCCCCCCGAAACGUGCCCCAUCCGGUCUGAUCUCGGAAGCUAAGCAGGGUCAGGCCUGGUUAGUCCUUGGAUGGGAGACCACCUAGGAAGACCAGGUGCUGUAGGCA
RNAcentral lists this ribosomal RNA (119 nucleotides) under Pteropus alecto (black flying fox). Lineage: Eukaryota; Metazoa; Chordata; Mammalia; Chiroptera; Pteropodidae. The record is from RNAcentral.